Molecule: ribosomal RNA, 253 nt
Filed under: uncultured bacterium
Lineage: Bacteria
Description: partial 16S ribosomal RNA
Rfam family: Bacterial small subunit ribosomal RNA
Source: RNAcentral
UACAGAGGUGGCAAGCGUUGUUCGGAAUUACUGGGCGUAAAGGGCGCGUAGGCGGGAUGGCAAGUCGGUCGUGAAAUCCCUCGGCUCAACUGAGGAGAGUCGGCCGAUACUGCUGUUCUUGAGGGAUGCAGAGGAGACUGGAAUUCCCGGUGUAGCGGUGAAAUGUGUAGAGAUCGGGAGGAACACCGGUGGCGAAGGCGGGUCUCUGGGCAUCUCCUGACGCUGAGGCGCGAAAGCGUGGGGAGCAAACGGG